Molecule: long non-coding RNA, 3951 nt
Organism: Zootoca vivipara (common lizard)
Lineage: Eukaryota; Metazoa; Chordata; Lepidosauria; Squamata; Lacertidae
Source: RefSeq, a predicted model, not a curated record
ACUUUUUUGCUUUUUUCUCUCUCUAACCCCCCCACCCACCCACCUCCGCCAGCAAUAUUCAGUAGGAAAGGGGAGAAAAAGAAACGAGAGCAGGAGGAGGGCAAAGAGAAAUCCUCGUUGCGCCGCAGGCGCUGGUGGGGGUGAAGAAUUGGAGUAAGUGCGUUUGUGGAACGUUCCCUUCAAGCGAGAUCUGGGACUUGCUUUUUGCUUUUUUGGAAAACGUCUCCUCUGGGCUCUUGUGAUUUCAGAGAAGAAGGGGGAGGAUUCGCUGUGAGAAACAAGGUCGUGGUUUGUUUGUGGAUUCUUGCUUUUGUUUUGUUUUUUUCCCGUUCUAGAUACUUUUUCUAGAAGUUUUUCAGUUUUGUGGGGUUCCCCCUCCGCCUCAAGUGGCUCUUCUAUAAACCGAGGACUCUGGAUCAAACUCAAUUUGCUGGGAGGACUCACUCUGCUAUCUUUCGGAAGGAUUCUGACGUGGUGGUUCGCUUCUGGGACGCUUUACUUUUUUCCCCUUUCCCCUGUUCAGAUUGUGGGCCUACAGGGGUUCCCCAAAUGGGCCAGAUCCUUUCCUCUUUCUGUUGCAGAGGGAGAGAUGCAGGAGCAGCCCGCUUUGCUUAUCGUGGAGCCGCAGGCGGGCCUUGCAGCACCCACGCCUGGGUUGCAGAUGUGGGGUGGGAGAGAUCCAGACCCCCGUGUGCCCUGCAGGCUGGGUCAUAGCAGAUCUCUGGCUUUGAAGGGGAGUUUUGUGUGUGUGUGUGUGUGUGUGUGUGUGUGUGUGUGUGUGUUUGGAGGGGGGGUGUUGCAUCUGGAGCAAAUGUAAAAUGAAACCAGGUUUUGGGAAUCCCUGGCUGUCAAAACAGUUUUCUGCCUGGAAAGCUUGUCCUUGAUUAGAAAUGAGAGCAGUUUAAUGCGGAUCGUUCUGUGUGCUCCAGAGUCUCUGCAAAGCCUUUUUUUAAAAAAAGUUGUGGAUUGAAUAUUAUUGCUAGGAAUUAUUAUUUUUUUGGGGGGGUGUUAUUUGUUCGCUUUGUAGCAUUUCAGAACUGCUUCUGUGUUUGUGUGAACAGGCCUCCCUUCUUUUUAACUGUUGAAGGAGACUUUAGACCUGGAAACAUAAGUAGAUUGUAAAUAUAUAUGUAUCUCUGCAUGGCCUGGGAGGGGGCAUGGAGGGGGGAGACGGUUUGCCAAAAACGAUGAGGGUCAAAGGUGUUCUUGUUCUUGUUUUGGAACUUAUGAAGUUGCAGAUGUCUUUCCGACUCUCCCUGUAUCUGGGCCUAGUCAGCAUGCCGUCCUCUCAAGCUGAGUUCUCAAUUAUUUGUUUAUUUAAUGAUAAUAAACCUCUAAUUGUGAUGAGAUUGUGGGAGGAUCUAUAAAUAGCUCAGCGACUCUUUCUCUCUUAAACUCUCCCCCCCCCUUUGACAGAAGGGGGAGGGGAAGAGAAUCAAGGAAGCUAGAUAAACUAUGAAUGGGAAUUUGUUUACAACAAUCUCUCCAAGUUUGAAUCACAGCACAGUCACACUGGCUAAUCAAAUUGCUUAGGGAAACUGAUUAAAUGACAUGCAAAUUGUUUGAAACACUCAGCUGUAACUUCUCUCUCUCUCUCUCUCUCUCUCUCUGUGUGUGUGUGUGUGUGUGUUUAAUUCUAAGUAUAAAUAUUGCAUAGAUCCGCUCAGAUCUUUGAGAAAGGAAUAAAUAUGCGUGAUUUUGGGGUUAUGCACUUUCCAACGAUUGUCUUGCAGAGAAUCCAGACUUUGAAUGCCGUUUAAUAAAAAAUUGCAAUACAGGAACACGGAUUUAUCUCAUUUUGUAGAUUGCAGAGCAAAGGGCACAAUGUUUUGGUGGAUGUCUGCAAGUAGAGCCAUAAAUCAGAGGGAUGAUUUGCCCCUGCAUUUGUUUGCUUGUGUGCAGAUAGAUAACAACUAUAUUUACAAGUUAUUAUUAUCCUGAAAAUAAAAAUCUAUAUUUUCCCGAAAUUUAAAUCUCUCGAGUUUGAGGCAGUAAAUGGGCUGUUUGAACGGUUUGGCAUUUGACCCCCUUAUUGCUUUAGCACAAUCGCAGUUUGAAGGGGUAGACAAAAUUCCUAUUGUGUUUCCUUGGAGUAUGAAAACUCGUUUCAAAUUCAUUAUUGCAAACCAUGCUCCCACCCACUAGAUGACAGGACGUCAGCCAAUACAGAGCCAAAAAGCAUAUAAAUGCAUAUGUGUGUCGUAAAUAAUGGACCAUACUGGCUGAAAUUAUUUACAUGGAUCCAUGCCUGCAGCCCCAAGUAAAAUGGACCUCAAGGCUUUGAGUGCUCCUCCUAUUUGCGCUCCUCCCUGUGUUACAUCCCCUAAUAUUUCCUCCCUAUAGGCUGAUUUUAGGUGGAGAAGAAAUGUAUUAUUCUUCAAAGCCAUUCCCCUUCAGAGGUCAGAGGGUAGUGUUCCUAAAGUAGCCAGAGGGGGCACUGCAGAGCAGGAGGGAAAAGCUGUGAAUCGCCCUAGCAAAUUCCCAGCUGGGUUUCAAGAGCUAUUCUCAAGGGACCAACUUCCUUUCCGCCCCCCCUCCCCAGCCCACCAACCCUGCAAAGCAAGCGUCUUUUAGCAAGUGCACACAAACACACACAUUGCACCUGCUUCCAUGUUUUUAAAGCCUCGGUAGAGAGGCCCCGAGAAAAGGAUUUGGGUAGAAAGCAGCUGUUUGUUUAUUUGCAAUAGAGAAAAAGAAAAGAAAGGGGAGGAAUACCUGAUUUCUGCCAUUUUUCCAUCACAUGCUUUGAAGUUCCAGUGUUUGCAAAAUAUCCCUGUGAGGUGUCAUCUCCAUAAGUAUCUGUCCUGGAUGCUUUAGCUGAGAUUCCUGCAUUGAAGGGGGCUGGACUAGAUGAACUCUUGGGGGUCCCUUCCAACUCUACGGUUCUAUGAUUCCAAGUAUCUGGGAGGGCUCCCACCUCUGUUACACCCCCAUUCCCCACUUUGAAAGUGGAACCUGCCAAUUUUAAUAUGGGAAUCACGAGACUGAAGGCCCUCACACAGUUGACUGCGAGGGGGAAUUGUCUUAUCUAGAUCUGCAGCAUUGAGAGCCCUAAAAAGACACGAUAUAAAUACGAAGCAAAGUGUGUAUGGGGUAAAAAGGUAUUGACAGGAGCCUUGAUCAAUAGGUGGCUAUGGAAUUCAACCACCCACCAUGCAUACUGGAGAUGAGGGAGAGAUUCAGUUCGGUUUUGCAUUUAAAGGCAAACUGACCUAAUUUGCACUUUCUGAAACUAUAAGCAAACCGAAAAGUGGAAGUAUCCUUUGAAAUCUGCACUUUUCCUGAAUUUUGCAAGGCAGUUCUACAGCCCAGUAAUGUGUACAAAAAUGCAUAUCCUGGGGCAAAGUAGGCAUUAAAUGCAUACAUUACUGGGUUUUUUUUCUUUCUUAAAGAAAUCAUAACAAUCUUUUCAAUAGGAGCAAAAGAGAAAAAUCAUGGACAACUCUGGCACAAUGCAAUGCAGCAAAAUUACAUGCAAUAUUAAGUCUGCUAUACACCUGAAAGCCCAAACUAAGUCACUAAUAUUUUCAAAUAAAACUGCCAUGCAGAUAACUGAAUCCCUGGAGGCUCUCUAAACUCCACCAUUAAUAAACUUUAAGAAGGGAUAUUGUUCUUUAUCAAACAAGCUGAGUUCAGUCUCCCCUUGAAUUAAUCAGCUGUGGUUAGAUGUUUCAAGAGAUGUUUAGGUGUUUCGAGAGAGCUAUACCUCAUGCAUUGUUACAACACAUCUCUUCUACAUUAUAUUGUAAAUUACCCUGUGAUCUUCAGAUGAAGGGCGGUAUAGAAAGUUAAUUAAUUAAUUAAGGCAUUUGCCCUUUGCAUUUCCAGUCCUUGCCUAACAGAAGCCAACAGCAGAACUGCCCAAGUCUUAUUUGAUGCUGCAGGAUGUAUAGGAGGGAAAUGUUUUUGCAAAAAAAAAAAAAAGUUUAUUAAGCAGAUCUGCAUGCAAAA